ACUCCUACGGGAGGGCAGCAGUGGGGAAUCUUGGACAAUGGGGGCAACCCUGAUCCAGCCAUGCCGCGUGAGUGAUGAAGGCCCUAGGGUCGUAAAGCUCUUUCGCCUGUGAAGAUAAUGACUGGUAGCAGGUAAAGAAACCCCGGCUAACUUCCGUGCCAGCAGCCGCGGUAAUACGGAGGGGUUAGCGUUGUUCGGAAUUACUGGGCGUAAAGCGCGCGUAGGCGGACUGGAAAGUUGGGGGUGAAAUCCCAGGGCUCAACCCUGGAACUGCCUCCAAAACUAUCAGUCUAGAGUUCGAGAGAGGUGAGUGGAAUUCCGAGUGUAGAGGUGAAAUUCGUAGAUAUUCGGAGGAACACCAGUGGCGAAGGCGGCUCACUGGCUCGAUACUGACGCUGAGGUGCGAAAGUGUGGGGAGCAAACAGGAUUAGAUACCCUGGUAGGCUCUGC
Molecule: ribosomal RNA, 450 nt
Filed under: uncultured bacterium
Lineage: Bacteria
Description: bacterial SSU rRNA
Rfam family: Bacterial small subunit ribosomal RNA
Source: RNAcentral